RNAcentral lists this ribosomal RNA (365 nucleotides) under uncultured bacterium. RNAcentral's name for it is "bacterial SSU rRNA". It matches the Rfam family "Bacterial small subunit ribosomal RNA", at positions 28 to 390 of the family's 1533-position model. The record is from RNAcentral.
GAUGAACGCUAGCGGCAGGCUUAAUACAUGCAAGUCGAGGGGCAGCAUAAGUAGCAAUACUUGAUGGCGACCGGCAAACGGGUGCGGAACACGUACGCAACCUUCCUUUAAGUGGGGAAUAGCCCGGGGAAACCCGGAUUAAUACCCCGUAAUAUUAUGAUGUGGCAUCACAUUAUAAUUAUAGAUUCAUCGCUUAAAGAUGGGCGUGCGCCUGAUUAGGUAGUUGGCGGAGUAAUAGCCCACCAAGCCUGCGAUCAGUAACUGGUGUGAGAGCACGACCAGUCACACGGGCACUGAGACACGGGCCCGACUCCUACGGGAGGCAGCAGUAAGGAAUAUUGGUCAAUGGACGCAAGUCUGAACCA